AUGGAUCCGCCUUCGUUCGACAUGUCGAUGAAGGAGGCAGAGAGAUCAUUCCGGCAAUUCAUCACCGACGUGCGCGCCAUGCUUCGAGACCCGGCUCGGCCGUUCGUGGUGCAGGACGGCGCCGGCCGGCUGCCAGCCCAGGAGGACAUUCCGACCAGGUUUUUGGAUCUUGUGCUGCGCACGGAUGAGCACGCCAUCACCUUGAGGUUGCGGAUGGACAACCUAUAUGUCGUGGGCUUCCGCAACGGCGUGGUCGAGGACCCCGCGACGACGUGGUUCGAGUUCCGGCUUGAGGACGGCCGCCAACGCGUGAUAACUGACUCUACGCUUCUCGGAUUCGGCGGGAAUUACCAGGGCGCCGGCCUAGGCACACUAGAUGAGAACGUCCAAGUUGGGCGAGACGUGGUCGUGAGCGCCAUCAAUACGCUGGCCACUCACGGCAACAACGGAUCCACGAUUGACGACGCGAGUUUGAAGGUCUUUCUGCGCACACUCAUCAUCCACUUCAUCGAGACCCUUCGAUUGAACGGCGUCGUCGAGCGUGUCGCCGGUUUGAUGGCCCACCCCGAAGAUCCAGCGCCGCCGUCCACAAGCCAUGAAAAUAACCUGCUCGGGCCAGUAGCUUAUCAUCUGAUUCAAAACUGGUCGCGCAUCUCCACCGACUUGCUGCUCGCCGCCAACGACAGCCAGCAACCUACGGUUACGGACGCCUUGGCUCGCCGCUUCCAAAGUUUGGCCGCUGCCGGCAUACACAACUACUUGGAAGCGGCGCAGGCGCUCGGGUUGGUGCUGCUCAAAACCCACGGGGCCAGGCGCCAGAGACGCUCCCUGGAGGACAACCCCGACCAUGUCGUCGCCGGCCUCACGCUCGUGGAGGUCAUCGAGGUGAUCGUUCGAAGAAUCGACGACGAGAGCCCCGGCGACCUCUACGGCUCCAUCACCGUGGAUGACGGCGUCGGCUCGGAGCAAGUCUUCUCCCGGGACCGGAACGACAUCCAGUCGGUUAGCCCCGGCGAGCAGGCCCAGCUCACCGGUCCGGCUCGGGCUAUCUCAGGCUACGACGACUUCGCCCUCAACUUUAACCUCAUGGACCGGGACUCGGACUUGUCGCCGGACGACCACGUCAGCAACGGGGCGUUGCUGUGGAACUCCCGCAUGGCCACCAACGAGGAGUACGACGCCAUCCACAGCAGGAUCAUCCAUGGUGUGGACGGCCACGUGGAGCUCCGCUUCGUGGCGAUGACCGACGCGGCGGUGGCCAAGGUGGAGGUCGUCGUCCUCGACAGCAGCGAAGACGCGCUCGACGUCUACGGCACCGUCACUGCCACCACGAGCCUGGAGGACGGCACGCAGGUGGCCAUCAAGCUCUUUGACGUGACCCCCGAGCACAGCGUCGCCGUCGGGAGAGGCUCGGCCGUUCCGCUUCACAGGAAGGUCGUGGCGGUGCCCCUGUGCUCUUCCUUGCAGCUCGGCUUCAGCCUGCAGGACUGGAACCACUUAUCUGCCAAUGAACAGAUCGCCGAUGGCACCGUGACGUUCGAGACUGCACGGCUCACCGGAGAGGAUCGUGGAGAGGUGGGCGGCAACAAUGGCCGCAACCGCAUCUCGGUGCAGCUCACCUGGUCCACCUGGUUCGACUAA
Molecule: ribosomal RNA, 1641 nt
Filed under: Triticum aestivum (bread wheat)
Lineage: Eukaryota; Viridiplantae; Streptophyta; Magnoliopsida; Poales; Poaceae
Description: partial small subunit ribosomal RNA
Source: RNAcentral